RNAcentral lists this ribosomal RNA (448 nucleotides) under uncultured bacterium. Its description in RNAcentral is "SSU rRNA". It matches the Rfam family "Bacterial small subunit ribosomal RNA", at positions 26 to 518 of the family's 1533-position model. The record is from RNAcentral.
AGAGCGAACGCUGGCGGCAGGCUUAACACAUGCAAGUCGAGCGGGCGUAGCAAUACGUCAGCGGCAGACGGGUGAGUAACGCGUGGGAACGUACCUUUUGGUUCGGAACAACCCAGGGAAACUUGGGCUAAUACCGGAUAAGCCCUUACGGGGAAAGAUUUAUCGCCGAAAGAUCGGCCCGCGUCUGAUUAGCUAGUUGGUGAGGUAAUGGCUCACCAAGGCGACGAUCAGUAGCUGGUCUGAGAGGAUGAUCAGCCACAUUGGGACUGAGACACGGCCCAAACUCCUACGGGAGGCAGCAGUGGGGAAUAUUGGACAAUGGGCGCAAGCCUGAUCCAGCCAUGCCGCGUGAGUGAUGAAGGCCCUAGGGUUGUAAAGCUCUUUCGCUCGGGACGAUAAUGACGGUACCGAGAUAAGAAGCCCCGGCUAACUUCGUGCCAGCAGCCGC